This is a long non-coding RNA of Corapipo altera (White-ruffed manakin), 978 nucleotides long. RefSeq lists it as uncharacterized. The transcript is spliced from 4 exons. The record is from RefSeq and is a predicted model, not a curated record. Lineage: Eukaryota; Metazoa; Chordata; Aves; Passeriformes; Pipridae.
AAAGAACUGGUGGGUCUGUACCAUGCACAUACCCAAAAAAGAGCGUGGCACGAGAGAUGACAGAUGACAGCAACAAAACCAGUGUGGGGACUGUGGGGAACUCUCAGGCUGAUUUUAAAGAGGAAGUCUGAAUAGGAAUCAUUUACUACUCCCAUGAUUACACAAGAAAAUGAUAUCAUCAGCAGGAUGAAAGACUGUACAGAGAGACAGUAACAUUCAUUACUUCCCAGCUGAAAUCAGGACUCAACCUGGAAACAAAAGCUUCAGCUCCUCUGCGGUUGGGUAAUUAAAUACAGAAGGGGCUGAACAGAAAAGGCUUUUCAUUUGCCACUACACAGACCCUAAAGUGAGCUGGUGUGGAAGACAGGCUGUGAAGAGGAAGAGCAAGUCAGCACUGAUAUGAAAGACAAGAACUGGAAGGAGCAGCUAUAUUAAAACCUAUUACGAGAUGAGCAACAUCCAGAGAGCCAGGGGAUGGAUCUCAAGUUGAGCUGCUUGAGACAGGCACAGCUUGGAAGUCACAUGUCCAUAACCCACAUCCUGCAGUUGGGCACUCUGAGGUUUAAAACUCAAGCACUUGGGUGAAGCUGAAUCUAAAUUUCUAUGAUUCUUUGAAAAUGCAAUAGCCAGACCUUUUAGGGGUAUUUCAUGGAUGCUGAGGAGUCUGCAAAAGCACUGCAACAGAUCCAGUCCAAGUGUGGGAAAUACUGACCCUGCAGCACCAUCACUCUCAAACACACUUGUUUUAAGUCUACACAAACUGCACCACACAGAGAAACCUGCCCGGAGAAGGCACAGAAACUCUUUCAGACCCUUCACAAGCACCUCUGUGCCAAACAUCCUCCUUGCAAACAUGAAGACAUUCAAAACUUACCUGGGACCCCACAAACAGCCGUCGGCAGCACCGGAGAUCCCAGAUGUGGAGGAAACAGCUGGAGCUCCGACUUCUUCACGAGACAGCUGGAGAUUUCCCAAUAA